UCAGUUGAUUGAAAUGUAAAGUUUAAUAUCCAUGCCUGGAAAAUGUUGAUCCCAUGACAUAUAAGUUCAACUGUAAUCCCGUCUAGGCAAGUUAAUCACUUUAAAAUGACAGUGUCCAAUGUCUUUGUUUGUAAAUCUGAUGAAACCCAGUGUGCAUACAGGAGGUGCAAGUCUCCAUUUCCAUAAUGUUUAAUAUGCAAAAGAA
RNAcentral lists this long non-coding RNA (205 nucleotides) under Mytilus galloprovincialis (Mediterranean mussel). Lineage: Eukaryota; Metazoa; Mollusca; Bivalvia; Mytilida; Mytilidae. The record is from RNAcentral.